CCCUUAGAUGUUCUGGGCCGCACGCGCGCUACACUGAUGCAUUCAACGAGCCUAUCCUUGACCGACAGGUCCGGGUAAUCUUUGAAUCUGCAUCGUGACGGGGAUAGAUUAUUGCAAUUAUUAAUCUUCAACGAGGAAUGCCUAGUAGGCGCAAGUCAUCAGCUUGCGUCGAUUACGUCCCUGCCCUUUGUACACACCGCCCGUCGCUCCUACCGAUUGGGUGUGCUGGUAAAAUGUUCGGAUCGGCCGUUUGUCGCGGUUUCCGCGGCUCGUGGCUGAGAAGUUCAUUAAACCCUCCCACCUAGAGGAAGGAGAAGUCGUAACA
RNAcentral lists this ribosomal RNA (325 nucleotides) under uncultured eukaryote. RNAcentral's name for it is "partial 18S ribosomal RNA". It matches the Rfam family "Eukaryotic small subunit ribosomal RNA", at positions 1470 to 1796 of the family's 1831-position model. The record is from RNAcentral.